This 504-nucleotide ribosomal RNA is filed under the name uncultured bacterium. RNAcentral describes it as "partial 16S ribosomal RNA". It matches the Rfam family "Bacterial small subunit ribosomal RNA", at positions 29 to 523 of the family's 1533-position model. The record is from RNAcentral.
AUUGAACGCUGGCGGCAUGCCUUACACAUGCAAGUCGAACGGCAGCAUGGAGAGCUUGCUCUCUGAUGGCGAGUGGCGAACGGGUGAGUAAUGCAUCGGAACGUACCGUGUAAUGGGGGAUAACGUAGCGAAAGUUACGCUAAUACCGCAUACGACCUGAGGGUGAAAGCAGGGGAUCGCAAGACCUUGCGUUAUACGAGCGGCCGGUGUCAGAUUAGCUAGUUGGUGAGGGAAAGGCUCACCAAGGCGACGAUCUGUAGCGGGGCUGAGAGGGUGGUCGGCCACACUGGGACUGAGACACGGCGCAGACUCCUACGGGAGGCAGCAGCGGGGAAUUUUGGACAAUGGGGGCAACCCUGAUCCAGCCAUGCCGCGUGAGUGAAGAAGGCCUUCGGGUUGUAAAGCUCUUUCGGCCGGGAAGAAAUCGCACAGGCUAAUACUCUGUGUGGAUGACGGUACCGGCAUAAGAAGCACCGGCUAACUACGUGCCAGCCGCCGCCGUAA